Molecule: ribosomal RNA, 440 nt
Filed under: uncultured bacterium
Lineage: Bacteria
Description: bacterial SSU rRNA
Rfam family: Bacterial small subunit ribosomal RNA
Source: RNAcentral
CUACGGGAGGCAGCAGUGGGGAAUCUUGCACAAUGGGGGAAACCCUGAUGCAGCGACGCCGCGUGAGCGAAGAAGCCUUUCGGGGUGUAAAGCUCUUACGCCAGGGACGAUAAUGACGGUACCUGGAGAAGCAGCUGCGGCUAACUACGUGCCAGCAGCCGCGGUAAUACGUAGGCAGCAAGCGUUGUUCGGAAUUACUGGGCGUAAAGGGUGCGUAGGCGGCGCCUUAAGUUUGGUGUGAAAUCUCCCGGCUCAACCGGGAGGGUGCACUGAAAACUGGGGCGCUCGAGUGUGGGAGAGGAAAGCGGAAUUCCUGGUGUAGCGGUGAAAUGCGUAGAGAUCAGGAGGAACACCCGCGGUGUAGACGGCUUUCUGGACCAUGACUGACGCUGAGGCACGAAAGCGUGGGGAGCAAACAGGAUUAGAAACCCUGGUAGUCC